GACGGAGGGUGCAAGCGUUGUUCGGAAUUACUGGGCGUAAAGCGUACGUAGGCGGCGGAUUAAGUCGAAUGUUAAAGCCUGAGGCUCAACCUCAGAGAUGCAUUCGAUACUGGUUUGCUAGAGGGUGAUAGAGGAAAGUGGAAUUCCCAGUGUAGCGGUGAAAUGCGUAGAUAUUGGGAGGAACAUCAGUAGCGAAGGCGACUUUCUGGGUCACACCUGACGCUGAGGUACGAAAGCGUGGGGAGCAAACGGGAUUAGAAACCCGAGUAGU
This 271-nucleotide ribosomal RNA is filed under the name uncultured bacterium. Its description in RNAcentral is "partial 16S ribosomal RNA". It matches the Rfam family "Bacterial small subunit ribosomal RNA", at positions 524 to 794 of the family's 1533-position model. The record is from RNAcentral.